CAGCGCGGCAUUCUGGGAGUCUGCUGAGUGCUGGCGGCGCGUCGCUCCUGUCAGAAAGUCCCUAGAUCUUUUCCCACUUAUUCAAUUAUCAACAUGCAUUAAUUCUGUACAGCUCACACCAGCAAUAGUGGCUUGUGGUCCAGCCCUUCUGAGUAACGCCAAAAAGCUCCCCAGUGAAUUUUCCAGGAGCAGGUUGCCCUCGUGUAACUGUGGGUAGACAGGGCCAGGGCCGGUUCUCCCGAGUCACGAAUGGGGCUGAGGCAGAAAAAGUGUGAAAAGAGCUCAUGCAUAGGGAGGGUGAACACCGAAAGUGUGUUCAGUCUCUGCAGCAGAGAGACAAGGCUAAAGCAGAGUACGCCGAGCACCCAGAAAGUAAACUGGGCCUCGGCAUCUUCUACCGCUGCGUAAGGGGUAGUGCAAUAGCACCCCAACAUCUGGCAGCUUUGAGACUGACAAAUGGGGAAAUACUUCUCUGUUUUUAUUGUAGCGUAACAUUUAGGUGUGAAAGUCAUUGCUAAAGCUUAAGCCAGGCACCGAGUGGCCCGAGGCCGGGCUGGUCCCAAUCCCAGCACCGAGGCCGUGGGGAGAGAGCCGAGAACUGUAAUGCCUGGCAGACAUAACGGGCUGAAUCACAGCUUGACCAGAAGCAGCAGCUAAGAUGGGCCUGGAGAGGAUGAAGUUUCCAGAAGUCAUGUUUGUUCCUGUCGUGUCUGCUGCCUCUGUAGUGGCUAUGGUCCUGCUGGUGACUAAUACACUCUCUGAAUGAAAGAUGCCUGGAGGUGCUGCUGGAGUUCAUCCGAAUGCAGUUACGGUGCAAGAUUCAGUCUGGCAAGAACUCAUCUGCCUUGGAAAGCUGUAGCUCUUGAGCUAUGCUAGUAGAGUUACAGUGAUGAGAUUAUCCUAAUGUGAAUACAGUUGAGCUGAUGGAGAAGUGCUGAUAGCUGAAGAGCUUAUUCUAAAUCUGGAAUGGAAAUAAGUCACGCUAGGACUGGGUGUCUUGAGUGCAGCAAACCGGCACCUGUAUAUGAGGAUGGGGUGGUAAUGAAUCUACACUCACCAAAAAACCCCCCUCUUUGAGUUUUGCUUUUACGCAGUGUAGAAUAACCCCAAAAGCAAUGUUACUGCACUAUUUUAGAAUAUCCUGUUCUGUUAAGCUGUGGAACUAGUCAAUACAGAUGGCAUAAAGCUCAGUCUGUCAAAUGAAACUGACCAAAUCUGUAGCGGGUGCAAGUCAAUGCAGCUCCACAAAAGCAUCACGGUCCGUGCUCAUUUGCAUCACUUCAGGGUGCCUUGCACCUUCUAUAAUCACUUAAAGCUGUGCUGAUGGAUUGGGUAAAGAUAAAGCGUUUUACAUUGACUUGGCACUCUAUAUGCACAGAUUCUGAGGGAGCCUUGAGAUACCUAAAUCUUACUGAAUUUCUUUAGAAGUUGGACAUCUGCUUCCCACAGGCUCUUUUGAAAAUCACUGCCAUAACCACUCGGUGAGAUGUAAGGGAGAAGUGAGUGGGGCCCAGCAUUGGCUGAGAACUGCAGUAAUAAUUUAAGUGACUUCAAGUGAGGUAAAUACUAAAUAUAUAUUUCCAGUUUGACACAAAAUCCACUGACAACACCAUGAUGUGAGAUCCUUUCAUCAUGCAUGAUUAUAAUCACUUGUUGGCAUGAGGCGCCUAUCUGUCGCAUUUAUAGUUAGAAGCAGUGGAGGCAGCUGACAUCUGACAGGGAUGAGGCAGACCUGACAGGCUCCCCCACCUUGGCCUGCCUUUCCUCUCCCUUUCACUCUUGUCUUUCAGAGGCUGGUAUGACAUGUUGUCCUUACCCUGCAGGCUCUGCAUGCCCGAUCUCCCUGCCACUAGAGGGAAACAUGCAUUUAUGGAAUGACUUUGAGACCUCACUGCUGCCCUAGUGAUAGCCAAAACUUGCUAUGAAGAACACUAGGAAUUUUUAACAGCUUUUUUCACUGUAUUAAACUGAUGCUGUCUAAA
Dromaius novaehollandiae (emu) is the source of this 1982-nucleotide long non-coding RNA. RefSeq lists it as uncharacterized. Lineage: Eukaryota; Metazoa; Chordata; Aves; Casuariiformes; Dromaiidae. The record is from RefSeq and is a predicted model, not a curated record. The transcript is spliced from 3 exons.